Molecule: long non-coding RNA, 859 nt
Organism: Aedes aegypti (yellow fever mosquito)
Lineage: Eukaryota; Metazoa; Arthropoda; Insecta; Diptera; Culicidae
Exons: 2
Source: RefSeq, a predicted model, not a curated record
UUGGCAAACAGUAUCACGUUUUGGUAUUCGUAAACGGAAAAAACAUCACUCUGCUGCACACGCUCAACAAAAAUGAAAGAAUGGUUGAGUAGGGUUUCAUGAAACAGACAUUCUUUUACUUGAGUUUCACAUAUCUCAUCCGAAAAAAAAAUGCACGACUGAGGAUACAGUACAAAUUUUGUUUCGGUUUCAAUCUUAUUUUCACUUUUUUGUUCGGGAUUUGAAAAAAAAACUUUUUUGUUACUGUGAAAAUUCGAAACUAAUGUGUAAUUUUUUAAGCGUGUUAAGUUUGUUUGCCUCCGACGUAGAAAAAAAAAGAAAAAAAAAGUUGUGAAGCGAAAAAAGGUGAAUCAAUUUGUGUUGAAUGUUGUAUUUUUUCAAAAAGAAGUGUUCCAAUGAGGUUUCUACUACUUUUCGGGAACGAAAACCUCUGCGCCUUGUGUAAAAUUGAAACCUCCGGAUGUGAAGCCUGCAUCAAAACCAAUUCAAACACAACAACCCGCUCGGACCGAUGUUCCACAAUCGAUAUAUCCCCGUAGGGUUCGUUACCGUUCGGUCCCCAGCAAUCAACAAGCGGAUUAUCUACAACAAGCAUUCGACGGAUAACACUUUCGGCGAACCUAAAUCAUUGCAAACCCGGGCCAAAUUCAGCACAUUUUAUAAAUGUGAUCGCGAAGUACCUAGUUGGGAUCUGUUUCCCUGCGGCAAAAGGAAAUGACACCGGCCGAAAUUCAGCAGCUUUUGCCAAUCAGAAGAGCUGGGCAAAAGUGAUUUUUGUGUGACUUCGCAAAUCUAGGAAAUCCAGGAAAUGAUUUCAUUUUUAUAAGUGAAAAUAUAUUAUAAACUUUUCAACAUUGUG